GCCCCCGUCGCAGACUUCGGGCUGCUGCGCGCCGCCCACGACGCGGCGGCCGAGAUGGAUGGGGUCACCACCCACGUGGGGCU
This 83-nucleotide transfer RNA is filed under the name Nocardioides daphniae. RNAcentral describes it as "tRNA-Arg". Lineage: Bacteria; Bacillati; Actinomycetota; Actinomycetes; Propionibacteriales; Nocardioidaceae. The record is from RNAcentral.